This 880-nucleotide ribosomal RNA is filed under the name uncultured bacterium. RNAcentral describes it as "bacterial SSU rRNA". It matches the Rfam family "Bacterial small subunit ribosomal RNA", at positions 11 to 887 of the family's 1533-position model. The record is from RNAcentral.
GUUUGAUCAUGGCUCAGGGUGAACGCUAGCGGGAGGCUUAACACAUGCAAGUCGAGGGGCAGCAUAAUGUAGCAAUACGUUGAUGGCGACCGGCGCACGGGUGAGUAACACGUAUGUAACCUACCCUGUACAGGGGGAUAACCCGGAGAAAUUCGGACUAAUAUCCCAUAAAGAUAUGAGAAGGCAUCUUUUUAUAUUUAAAGCUCAGGCGGUACGGGAUGGGCAUGCGCAACAUUAGCUAGUUGGUAGGGUAACGGCCUACCAAGGCUACGAUGUUUAGGGGACCUGAGAGGGUGAACCCCCACACUGGUACUGAGACACGGACCAGACUCCUACGGGAGGCAGCAGUGAGGAAUAUUGGUCAAUGGGCGCAAGCCUGAACCAGCCAUCCCGCGUGCAGGAAGACGGCGCUAUGCGUUGUAAACUGCUUUUCCAGGGGGAGAAUUUUCCGGUCGUGACCGGGAUUGACGGUACCCUGGGAAUAAGCAUCGGCUAACUCCGUGCCAGCAGCCGCGGUAAUACGGAGGAUGCGAGCGUUAUCCGGAUUUAUUGGGUUUAAAGGGUGCGUAGGCGGAUCAAUAAGUCAGUGGUGAAAACCUGCAGCUUAACUGUAGAUGUGCCGUUGAUACUGUUGGUCUUGAGUAUGGUCAAGGUAGGCGGAAUGUGUAAUGUAGCGGUGAAAUGCUUAGAUAUUACACAGAACACCGAUUGCGAAGGCAGCUUGCUGGGCCAUUACUGACGCUGAUGCACGAAAGCGUGGGGAUCGAACAGGAUUAGAUACCCUGGUAGUCCACGCCGUAAACGAUGAUCACUCGCUGUUGGCGAUACACAGUCAGCGGCUAAGCAAAAGCAUUAAGUGAUCCACCUGGGGAGUACGGCC